This 545-nucleotide long non-coding RNA is filed under the name Homo sapiens (human). Its description in RNAcentral is "long intergenic non-protein coding RNA 3076". Lineage: Eukaryota; Metazoa; Chordata; Mammalia; Primates; Hominidae. The record is from RNAcentral.
ACCGCCUACUCCAGUCCUCUCCACCCCAAGCUCUAUGCAACUCAUUUUCAUCUAGCAUUACCUCUCCAAAACCUGAAUCUCCACAAGAAAGCCACACAGCAAUUAACCAGUGUUGCAAGAACUGCUUCUGUAAUAAAGGUGGGAAGACAAAUUGAUGCAACCCUCUUGAAAAGCAAUCUGGCAAUAUGAACCAAGAGCCAUGAAAAGGCUUAUGCUAUUAUAAUUAAAUGGCUGUAAUGUUGGCUGUAAAUAUGAAAUUUUCUUUCACACACCAAUGUUUUCAAGAAUGGCAUAUUCACAUGCAGUAUGUGAUGAAAGAAGCAGUAAAGGAUGCUAACAAAGCUAUUUCUUUGGACAAUCUGAACCUGAUGAGAAAAUUGAAGCCAACAGAAGUUAACUAACUUGCCUAAAAUAACACAGCUGUGGCAAAUUAGGACCAGAACCAAGGUCUCCUGACCUAAGUGCUACUCCCACCAUACUACAUGAUCUGCUGUUUAAAAUUUUGGUGAGCUUUAUAACAUAAAUAAAACUACAGAUGUGAAGGA